This 525-nucleotide ribosomal RNA is filed under the name uncultured bacterium. RNAcentral describes it as "bacterial SSU rRNA". It matches the Rfam family "Bacterial small subunit ribosomal RNA", at positions 8 to 518 of the family's 1533-position model. The record is from RNAcentral.
AGAGUUGAUCGAUGGCUCAGGAUGAACGCUAGCUACAGGCUUAACACAUGCAAGUCGAGGGGCAGCAUUGGGAUAGCUUGCUAUCCAGAUGGCGACCGGCGCACGGGUGAGUAACGCGUAUCCAACCUUCCCCCAUAGUAGGGCAUAGCCCGUAGAAAUGCGGAUUAAUACCCUAUGUUUUCCGAAGAAGACAUCUGAUUUGGAACAAAGGUUCACCGCUAUGGGAUGGGGAUGCGUCUGAUUAGGUAGUAGGCGGGGUAACGGCCCACCUAGCCGACGAUCAGUAGGGGUUCUGAGAGGAAGGUCCCCCACAUUGGAACUGAGACACGGUCCAAACUCCUACGGGAGGCAGCAGUGAGGAAUAUUGGCCAAUGGGCGCGAGCCUGAACCAGCCAAGGUUAAGCGUGCAGGAUGACGGCCCUAUGGGUUGUAAACUGCUUUUAUACAGGGAUAAAGUCGGGGACGCGUUCCCCGUUUGCAGGUACUGUAUGAAUAAGGACCGGCUAAUUCCGUGCCAGCCGCCGC